UACAGAAAAUCCUCAUCUGAAACCAGGGUCCUGGCUGACCUUUGAACGUGACCUUCAGGGGAUGGUGGACGUCAUAAUCAUCCAGGAUACAAGAAAUGCACCAUCCUCCACUGAGACACUGGCUCUGCACGGGCAUUUGCUGAGGGCUAUCAACUCCUGGACAAAUGCAGGCAUUUUUUCAGUUGACAUCUAGAAGCUCUGGUUCUCUACCUUGCCGUCUACUGUCUUAUCCAGUGGUCACCUCUAUUCAAAUCCAGAACUGGGUGGGGAAGAAAUACUCUUGCUUAUUUCUGUGCUCUCUGACACUGCUCACCAGCCCAAGGAUGGGUGAGGAAAGAGGAAAACAGAGCCCGACAUCCAGAAACUGGCCUGACCCUCCAAGCCAGACCUCUGCUUUUUCUUGUUAAAUGUCUGCAAAGGUGCCAGCUAUCAAGCACAUCCAUCCACAUAGAGCUCUGCAGGGCCACACUGUGCCCCACUAAGGCCGGAAGGAAUCCCGCACACUUCCGGUCCCGUGUCCUUGGCCAGGACAGCACCAUCUCCUGUCGUCACAAGGGAGAGAAGGACGAGAGAGUGCAAGCAUAGAGAUGGCCCAGGUCUGACGCUCAGGACGUGAUAGUCAUCAAGUCACCUAGGCUGAGUGGAAGCCGUGAACAGGAAUGCUUCCUAGCUUGAAGACCUUCACGUGUGCUUUCAGAUGUGACACACUGGCCUGCAAACCUCCUUGCUCACAGCUGUCGUGGGAAUCUCCAUUCUUUACAGACUCAGCUCCCCACCUGAGGUCCCAGUGUCCAGGCAGGAGUCCCCAGCCUCCGUCCAACUAGGAACCAGACUGUUCCUCUCAACACUUUGCUUCAUUCAGAAGAAAUCCCACUUUCCAAAUGCCUUGGUGAUACCUCUGGUGAGCACGUACAUCAUGCUGAAGAUAGAACAGGGCAGGAAAUGGAAGAUUUAGGACUUUGGAGCCAGACAGACAUGGGUCAACCCCCUGCCCUGCAUUUAUAACAGAAUGAUCCAAAGCCCCUACUCUUCAAGACUGUGCAUGGACAGAAUCUGUACACAGACAGAACAUAGCCCGAGAGCCGGACUGCCGAGGUCCAAAUUCUAACCUUACCACUUCCUGGUGCUGCUUGCUGCCCGCCUCCGCUCCUCCACCGGGCACCGUGACACACAACCCUCGGGCCCCUCACGCGCCCCUGUCUUCUCCUGUGUGCCUGGGAAGAAUUCAACCCGCCCCUGCCACACCUCGGGCACAUCCCUUAUCACAUCAUAUGUUAUUUUUUAUUUAUUUUCUUUUUCACCUCACCCAACUGGAAUAUAAAUUCCACAAGAUCGGUAUUUUAUUUGACUUUGCAUACCAGAACCCCAAACACGUGGG
RNAcentral lists this long non-coding RNA (1378 nucleotides) under Heterocephalus glaber (naked mole-rat). Its description in RNAcentral is "lncRNA (ENSHGLG00000038519.1)". Lineage: Eukaryota; Metazoa; Chordata; Mammalia; Rodentia; Bathyergidae. The record is from RNAcentral.